UACGUAGGGGGCAAGCGUUAUCCGGAUUUACUGGGUGUAAAGGGAGCGUAGACGGCUAUGUAAGUCUGAUGUGAAAACCCGGGGCUCAACCCUGGGACUGCAUUGGAAACUAUGAAGCUGGAGUGCAGGAGAGGUAAGUGGAAUUCCUAGUGUAGCGGUGAAAUGCGUAGAUAUUAGGAGGAACACCAGUGGCGAAGGCGACUUACUGGACUGUAACUGACGUUGAGGCUCGAAAGCGUGGGGAGCAAACAGG
This 253-nucleotide ribosomal RNA is filed under the name uncultured bacterium. RNAcentral describes it as "partial 16S ribosomal RNA". It matches the Rfam family "Bacterial small subunit ribosomal RNA", at positions 524 to 776 of the family's 1533-position model. The record is from RNAcentral.